Molecule: ribosomal RNA, 775 nt
Filed under: uncultured Neocallimastigales
Lineage: Eukaryota; Fungi; Neocallimastigomycota; Neocallimastigomycetes; Neocallimastigales
Description: partial large subunit ribosomal RNA
Rfam family: Eukaryotic large subunit ribosomal RNA
Source: RNAcentral
CGCAUCUGUGCAUGCAGCAUAUCAAUAAGCGGAGGAAAAGAAACUAACAAGGAUUCCCCUAGUAACGGCGAGUGAAGCGGGAAGAGCUCAAAUUUGAAAUCUUAAAGGGUUUCCCUUUACGAAUUGUAGUUUAAAGAAGUGUUUUCUGUUGAGGUUUUGGUAAAAGUUCUUUGGAAUAGGACAUCAUAGAGGGUGAGAAUCCCGUAUUUGACCUUUACUUUCAACUUUGUGAUACACUUUCAAAGAGGUCGGAUUGUUUGGGAAUGCAGUCCAAAAUGGGUGGUAAAUUUCAUCUAAAGCUAAAUAUUGGCGAGAGACCGAUAGCGAACAAGUACCGUGAGGGAAAGAUGAAAAGAACUUUGAAAAGAGAGUUAAACAGUACGUGAAAUUGUCAAAAGGGAAGCGUUUGACACCAGUGUUGUUUUUCUGAAAAUCAAUUAAAGAACUGUUUAUGCUAAGCUGUUUAGACUUUAUCAGCUAUCUGUUUAGUUUUGAGCUUUUCUUUAAUGCACUUUUCAGUUAACAAGUCAACAUCAAUUUCUUUUGCUGUAAAAAAGCUUGAGGAAGGUGGCUUGAGAUUCGUCUUAAGUGUUUAUAGCCUCUUGCCUAUGCAGUCGGAGAGAUUGAGGUCUGCAGCGUAGAUCCUUCGGGGCUAAAUGCAUUUGUGCUAAGUUAUAACAUUUUAUAGACAACUUGUUGACUAUGAUUUGUCUUGUAGCUUACUCGCUUAUGUUAUUUUACCUACGCUUAGGAUGUUGAGCGCAUGUCUCUCUCU